Molecule: ribosomal RNA, 253 nt
Filed under: uncultured bacterium
Lineage: Bacteria
Description: partial 16S ribosomal RNA
Rfam family: Bacterial small subunit ribosomal RNA
Source: RNAcentral
UACGAAGGGGGCUAGCGUUGCUCGGAAUCACUGGGCGUAAAGCGCACGUAGGCGGAUUGCUAAGUCAGGGGUGAAAUCCUGGAGCUCAACUCCAGAACUGCCUUUGAUACUGGCGACCUUGAGUCCGGGAGAGGUGAGUGGAACUGCGAGUGUAGAGGUGAAAUUCGUAGAUAUUCGCAAGAACACCAGUGGCGAAGGCGGCUCACUGGCCCGAUACUGACGCUGAGGCACGAAAGCCAGGGGAGCAAACGGG